Molecule: long non-coding RNA, 76 nt
Organism: Sinocyclocheilus grahami
Lineage: Eukaryota; Metazoa; Chordata; Actinopteri; Cypriniformes; Cyprinidae
Exons: 4
Source: RefSeq, a predicted model, not a curated record
CGAUCUCACAGGCUGACGAUAGGACAAUAUGACAAUUGAGCAUACUGCCCAAAACUAAGUUAGCUAGCUUCACACA